GUCGAGCGGCGGACGGGUGAGUAAUGCCUAGGUAUCUGCCCAGUCGAGGGGGAUAACAGUUGGAAACGACUGCUAAUACCGCAUACGCCCUACGGGGGAAAGGAGGGGACCUUCGGGCCUUUCGCGAUUGGAUGAACCUAGGUGGGAUUAGCUAGUAGGUGGGGUAAUGGCUCACCUAGGCAACGAUCCCUAGCUGGUCUGAGAGGAUGAUCAGCCACACUGGAACUGAGACACGGUCCAGACUCCUACGGGAGGCAGCAGUGGGGAAUAUUGCACAAUGGGCGAAAGCCUGAUGCAGCCAUGCCGCGUGUAUGAAGAAGGCCUUCGGGUUGUAAAGUACUUUCAGCGAGGAGGAAAGGUAAGUAGUUAAUAACUGCUUACUGUGACGUUACUCGCAGAAGAAGCACCGGCUAACUUCGUGCCAGCAGCCGCGGUAAUACGAGGGGUGCAAGCGUUAAUCGGAAUUACUGGGCGUAAAGCGUACGCAGGCGGUUUGUUAAGCAAGAUGUGAAAGCCCCGGGCUCAACCUGGGAACUGCAUUUUGAACUGGCAAACUAGAGUCUUGUAGAGGGGGGUAGAAUUUCAGGUGUAGCGGUGAAAUGCGUAGAGAUCUGAAGGAAUACCGGUGGCGA
This 632-nucleotide ribosomal RNA is filed under the name Shewanella sp. J2011s. RNAcentral describes it as "bacterial SSU rRNA". It matches the Rfam family "Bacterial small subunit ribosomal RNA", at positions 90 to 718 of the family's 1533-position model. The record is from RNAcentral. Lineage: Bacteria; Pseudomonadati; Pseudomonadota; Gammaproteobacteria; Alteromonadales; Shewanellaceae.